Long non-coding RNA from Helianthus annuus (common sunflower), 1112 nucleotides. RefSeq lists it as uncharacterized. NCBI's taxonomy places the organism in Eukaryota, Viridiplantae, Streptophyta, Magnoliopsida, Asterales, Asteraceae. The record is from RefSeq and is a predicted model, not a curated record. The transcript is spliced from 5 exons.
AUGAUUUUUAAUACUUUUUAAAACAACAAAUUUAAAUUUUUUAAUGAUUUUUAAAUAAAGAAAAUUGCAACUUUAGUCCUUCACUAUUUGUUGUCUCAGUGCUCACAUCCCAUUCAUCCUAAAUUUCAUUUCCCUCUUAACAAAAGUAUUCCAAAUUUUCAUUUCCCUCCUCGUACGAAGAUUCAUUUCCCCCCAGUUUUGAUUAUUUUCUCAAUCCCCUCUAAUCCUAAAUCUUCAUUAUUCUCUCAAUCCCCUCUAAUCCUAAAUCAUAUAAUUCAAAUGAGAAACCCUAGCUUCCUUUUACAUAUUCAACCACCAACAGUACUCCGAAUCUAUUUUCUUUAAACCGGAACCCUAAUACCUAAUAACUGGCAAAGACAGUGGUUAUGCCAAUAAAGGUCGAAUGUGAAGGUGGGUGUGCAGGGGAGGUGGUUGUUUAUGGUGGGUAAUAGCUGCGGGAAAGAUGGAGGAUGCACCACAGAUUUGAGGAGGCGAUUUCGAUUCCAAGCGUUUCGUGUGACAUUGUGCGUAUGAAACUGGGGUUGCAGGGCCGGGCAGUGGUCAACAAGGUUUCAGCUUGAUCUUUUCAAACCUUCAUCAUCAAGAGUCCAAUACUUUCUUGAGAAGCGAUCCCCAAGGCUUUCUUCUGACAUAAAGAAAUUGCCAAAUGUAGUUAUUUGAUAUCCGGAGGUUUUUGACAAAUGAUCUAUGCGGUAAAUGCUGCUGGAGCUUUUCUACAUGGGCUGGAGGAUGAAUACUAUAAGGUUUGAGACAUGGCUACAAUAUAUAUAAAUACAACUGGAGGUGAUGGUUUCGUUGAUGGGCUAAGAGACAUCAGAACUGGCCACCGGUUACAAGUUUACUCACUACCACAACAAGGUAGCCACUAGCCCAUGGAUGCAAAUUUGCAGCACUUUCAAGUCCAAAAGCAUUGAGUAGACACGAACUUGAAGAAAACAGUCUUGAAAUAGCUCUUAGUUUUUGUGUACAUUUGUUUCCCUUUGCAACUUCUGUAGAUAGGUUUUGCUUAUAAGUUUAUAUCUUCCAUUAGUAUUUAAAUUGAAAACUUAUGUAUGGAUUUAUGGUUAUUAUUGUUAACAUCAUUUGUAUUA